AUGAGCGCGCCACCCACCGCGUCCACAGAGACUGCCUUGAACCUAUGGUGCGCGAGCUGGAGGACGGCGGGGGAGGCCAACAACCUGGCGCCGUGGGCUGCCGUGCCGCAGGACUGCGUGCCGCACGUGCACGCAUACCUCACUAGCCCCGCCUACCGCUCCAACCUCGACCUCGUCAUGGGGAGGCCUCCGCCUACGCCCGCGCUGCCACCGGCGCCUGGGUCUUCGAUGUCGAUGAGACGCUGCUCUCCAAGCUCCCCUACUACGCGCAACACGGAUACGGGCUGGAGCUGUUCGACCACUGGGAGUUCGAACGGUGGGUGGAGACGGGGGAGGCGCCGGUGUUCCCCUCUAGCCUCCGCCUCUACAGGGAGGUCCACGAUGUCGGCUUCAAGACCUUCCUUCUCACCGGCCGCAGCGAGGCCCAUGAGGGUAGAAAGAGCUGUCGUGGACCUGCUAUGUAUGCCAUCACAAAAGCCUUAUGUGUUGCUUUUUUCAUGA
This 501-nucleotide ribosomal RNA is filed under the name Triticum aestivum (bread wheat). Its description in RNAcentral is "partial small subunit ribosomal RNA". Lineage: Eukaryota; Viridiplantae; Streptophyta; Magnoliopsida; Poales; Poaceae. The record is from RNAcentral.